This 427-nucleotide ribosomal RNA is filed under the name Salmonella enterica subsp. enterica serovar Goldcoast. RNAcentral's name for it is "partial 23S ribosomal RNA". It matches the Rfam family "Bacterial large subunit ribosomal RNA", at positions 217 to 685 of the family's 2925-position model. Lineage: Bacteria; Pseudomonadati; Pseudomonadota; Gammaproteobacteria; Enterobacterales; Enterobacteriaceae. The record is from RNAcentral.
AAAAGAAAUCAACCGAGAUUCCCCCAGUAGCGGCGAGCGAACGGGGAGGAGCCCAGAGCCUGAAUCAGCAUGUGUGUUAGUGGAAGCGUCUGGAAAGGCGCGCGAUACAGGGUGACAGCCCCGUACACAAAAGCGCAUGUGCUGUGAGCUCGAUGAGUAGGGCGGGACACGUGGUAUCCUGUCUGAAUAUGGGGGGACCAUCCUCCAAGGCUAAAUACUCCUGACUGACCGAUAGUGAACCAGUACCGUGAGGGAAAGGCGAAAAGAACCCCGGCGAGGGGAGUGAAAAAGAACCUGAAACCGUGUACGUACAAGCAGUGGGAGCACCCUUUGGGGUGUGACUGCGUACCUUUUGUAUAAUGGGUCAGCGACUUAUAUUCUGUAGCAAGGUUAACCGAAUAGGGGAGCCGGAGGGAAACCGAGUCUU